Molecule: ribosomal RNA, 309 nt
Filed under: Symbiodinium sp. clade D
Lineage: Eukaryota; Dinophyceae; Suessiales; Symbiodiniaceae
Description: partial Eukaryotic large subunit ribosomal RNA
Rfam family: Eukaryotic large subunit ribosomal RNA
Source: RNAcentral
GUUAGUUUUACCCUACUGAUGAGAUUGUUGUCGCAACAGUAAUAUUGGUUAGUACGAGAGGAACCCCAAUUUCAGACAAUUGGUAAAUGCGGUUGUUUGAAAAAACAAUGCCGCGAAGCUACCAUCUGUUGGUUUAGGGCUGAACGCCUCUAAGUCCGAAACCAUGCUGAAAAGCGACGAUAUUCACCUCUUUCGAUGUUACAAGAGUACCGAUAAAUAUGUACCAUACAAGUGCAACGGAGUUAAAUCCUAGCAAACGAAUAAUAAUUACAAAUAUUGAAAGAGAUAAAUCCUUUGUAGACGACUUAA